GUGAAUGUUUUGGCACAUACAAAUUUUUUCCCUUUGAUUAUUUUACUUGUCAUUUCUAAUGGCUGUUUUCAGUAUUUUACCUGAUUGUGCCCUAGUAUUUAAAUUUCUGCUAAUUUAAAUACUGUCGAUACAUGUGAGGGCACUUAAUUUUUCAAAGCUUUGAUAACAUUGGGUUAUGUCAUUUCUGUGAUUCUUUGUGUUUAGGGGUAGGAUGCCAAAACUUUAUCAUGAACUUUUUAGUCGAGAUGAUGUUUUAACUAGUCUAGAUGUAUAAUGCCUUAAGGCAGCAGUUCUUAAAGUGUGAUUCCCAGACAAGCAUCAACUGGGAACUUGUUCGACCGACCACUUCUCAAGCAAUACCCCAGACCUGAAUCAGAAAUUGUGGAUAGGCUCCUACAGUUUGUGUUUUAACAAGCUUGCCAGGUGAUUCUGAUACAGACCGAAGCUUGAGAACCACUGCCAUAAGGAAUUGCAAAGGUUUACAAGGGCGGCUUGUUUUUAGACGUAUUUAUGGUCCCAAUAAUCAUUGGUUUAAAAUUUUUCACAUUUAGAGAGGAGAUACACAAAUGGGAUUGGAAAAAUUCAGGGAAUCCCUGAUUUACUCCUGUAACUUUCCAUUUCACAAAGGAGAAACCUCAAUUAUUUUUCCAAUGCUUAUGCAGCUGCAGUUAGUGCGGUGGACCCUGAUGCAGGAAAUGGAGAACUUUGCAUUAAGGUUCCAUCAGAGCUGUGGAAACACGUUGAUGAGUUAAAGGUCCUGAAGAUACACAUCAAUUUUUCUCUGGAUCAGCCCAAAGGAGGUCUUCAUUUUGUGGUACCCAGUGUAGAGGGAAGUAUGGCAGAGAGAGGUGCUCAUGUUUUCUCUUGUGGGUAUCAAAAUUCUACAAGAUUUUGGUUUCCUUGUGUUGAUUCAUACUCUGAAUUGUGUACAUGGAAAUUAGAAUUUACAGUAGAUGCUGCAAUGGUUGCUGUUUCUAAUGGCGAUUUGGUGGAGACAGUGUAUACCCAUGAUAUGAGGAAGAAAACUUUCCAUUAUAUGCUUACCAUUCCUACAGCAGCGUCAAAUAUCUCCUUGGCCAUUGGACCAUUUGAAAUACUUGUAGAUCCAUACAUGCAUGAGGUAAGUCAGAGCUCUCCCCUCUUACUCUCCUCUUGGCCUUUUACUGCUUUUAAAACGAUGGAUGUUGACUGGGUGCAGUGGCUCACACCUGUAAUCCCAGCACUUUGGGAGGCCAAGGCAUGUGGAUCACGAGGUCAGGAAAUCGAUCCUGGCCAACACAGCAAAACCCAGUCAUUACUAAAAAUACAAAA
RNAcentral lists this long non-coding RNA (1311 nucleotides) under Rhinopithecus bieti (black snub-nosed monkey). RNAcentral's name for it is "lncRNA (ENSRBIG00000046567.1)". The record is from RNAcentral. Lineage: Eukaryota; Metazoa; Chordata; Mammalia; Primates; Cercopithecidae.